Molecule: ribosomal RNA, 409 nt
Filed under: Fusobacteriota bacterium
Lineage: Bacteria; Fusobacteriati; Fusobacteriota
Description: Fusobacteria bacterium partial 16S ribosomal RNA
Rfam family: Bacterial small subunit ribosomal RNA
Source: RNAcentral
UGGGGAAUAUUGCACAAUGGAGGGAACUCUGAUGCAGCAACGCCGCGUGCGGGAUGACGGCCUUCGGGUUGUAAACCGCUUUCAGCCAUGACGAAGCUUUUGUGACGGUAGUGGUAGAAGAAGCACCGGCUAACUACGUGCCAGCAGCCGCGGUGAUACGUAGGGUGCGAGCGUUGUCCGGUAUUAUUGGGCGUAAAGAGCUUGUAGGCGGUUUGUCGCGUCGAUAGUGUAAACACGCAGCUUAACUGUGUGCCUGCUGUCGAUACGGGCUGACUAGAGGAGGGUAGGGGAGAAUGGAAUUCCCGGUGGAGCGGUGGAAUGCGCAGAUAUCGGGAGGAACACCAGUGGCGAAGGCGGUUCUCUGGACCUUUCCUGACGCUGAGAAGCGAAAGCGUGGGUAGCAAACAGG